UUCAGUUAUCGUUUUUGAGUUUCAUCCUCUCCGUUGUCAAGCUUUCGUGUGUUUCAAGAAAAAGCCCCUUCCUUCGUCGUUUCUUUCCUUUUGUUGUUAAUUAGGGUUUGGACCAAUGGUCUAGGGUUUGGAUUUGGUACAAUGUUCGAGCGCUCGAGGGCCAAGAAUGUCGAGAUCUAAGAGCCGAGAGUCGAUCAGAGCGGCAUACUGUCGGAAUUUAUGCAACGCGGAGACGGAAUCGGGAGGGGAAGACGGAAAAAAUCAAGAGGUUUGGACCAAUGCUCGAAGUCUUGAGGGCAAAAAGUGUGUUGGCACGUGCUACUUUGCGAGCUCUCUUUGCAAUGCUAUCGAUAAAUUUCCGGUGUUUAUGAACUGAUCCAUAAUGUAGGAGCGCUCAGAUACAGAUUCUGGAGGAAGGGGUGCUGGUGUAAAAUCAGGAGGAGAAAUUUUAUUAAAAUCAAUCAAUCUCCUUAUAUACAGCAAACAGGGGAAUUUACACAAGCUGUCAAGCUGGUCAUAACAGAAAAUUAACUACCCUGCUUUUUCAACAGCUAGAUAUUAUUCAGGCUUAUAUCGUCACAAAAAUCCAAAGCAUCCUUGUUACUGUUGGUAUACAAACGAUAAUCUUCUGUGCUACUUUUUCUUGUAAAGACCAUUGCGGGACUUCAACUGCAGUUCUUUUAUUGAUGUGUGCCCUCUGAUCAUCAAGACCCAAUUAUUUCGAAAGGUUUUCCUUGACAUCUCUAGACGGGAGUUCAUUAUCAGCAAACACUUGGCGAUUUCUUUCUGCUUCGAUCCUGCACUCCAAAAUUCACCAGUAUGCAGUAGUUGAAAAUGUGAUGUUGUGCAGCCUUGAGGAAUUAGAAGGAAAGUUAGCUUCCCCAACUGAUUUGUAAUGAAAAAGUUCAUAGGUAAAUGAUUGCAUUUGCUGCUACGUUGCAUUACUAUUAUGAUUAUGUGGAUCGUUUAUAUUAGUUUCUUUAUUUUUGCUAUUUAUGCUCUCUAUGUUUGAUGGCUUCUGAAAAGUUGGGGAGAAACCGAAUCUGAAUUAUUCAGAUUCUGCAGGGAAAAAAACACAAACAGAAUUGAUAUUUUGGAAUAUAUCAUAUCAAAAUACGAGGGGUGUUCAUCCAUUUAUUUCUGUUUCCGGUUAGUACUUUAUAAAAUUAGUGGGUUUCAGUUCAGUGUUUUUUGGUCGGAAUGGGCUUUUUUUUUUUUUCCUUCCUUUAUGGGAAAGGGUUAUUGUGACUAAGACAGACUUUCUUUGUAAAGUAGGUGGAAUGGCUGGCUUACUGGUUGGAGUUUGUGCAUUUAAUUAAUGAGCUCUAAGGGGGCAAAUUUCAGUAGAAGAAGAAUAAAUGUUGAGGAGCUAAGCUAGCUGGUGGUGCUUUUCUUCCAAGAGAGAAAAGAUAUAAACGUAGCCCGAAUAUUCUUAUAUGUGGAUGACCUCAAGUAGUCAGCCUGAGGUACUUCUCUGUCUAGAGAGAAAAGACCCAGACAUAGCUUGAAUAAUCUGUAAAGAGAGAUUACUGGAAUAUAACCCAAGUGAUCCAACAUAAAGAAAUGAAUUAGCUCAAAUGUCGGAUAUAGAGACGACUUAAGCAGGCUCAAUAGUCACACGUAGGGAGGGACAACUUAAAUCUUGUUGAAGUGGUCAGCCAUUAGUACCUUCUCUUAUCUGAAAACUGCAAGAUCUUCUCAAUAUAAAAUUUUAAUCAUGCUGGAAGGAGAAAAAUCAGUAGAAAAAAAAAAAAAAAUACAAUUGGGCAGCAGACUUCCUUUAGAAAUCACAGGUUUCCUGUACGUGGGAAGGUUGAACUAAUUGCUCUGAUUGUGUGCUGCCGGUCCGUGAGUUGGCUGAUGGUUGUGCAUUUGUUUUGUUGCUGACUGUAUAGAUGAUGUGGCAGCUGAUGUAGAUUGGUUGUCAGAAAAUUGGUCUGGCCACCGUUUCAUCUUUUUCAUAUGUUCAUUGCAUUUAGAUUGCUGGUACUGCUAAUGAGGUGUUGACCAAAAUUGAUACUUUUGACAGUUAGGGUAAAAAUUAGGGCACAACUUUACACUUUUUCCCCCACGUUUCUUUCGCGGAAUUAUGUUCGAAAUUACCGGAGCAGUAGAGGACGGACGAAGAAGGAAGGUUCUAUCUGGGGAUCGUCUCCUUCCACUUCUUCAGUUCCACUCCCAUGGCGGUAACCCAAACCCUCUACUCCACAGUCUUCUCUUCGAGCAGUUUAGUUUCAGUGAAAUUUCCCAACUCUCGUCUCAACUAUGGGUGCAGACAUUUGCAAUCGACUGAAGCAAGUGAAAGAUGUGGCGCUUGCAGUAGUUCGGGUCCGGGUCCUCGCCUAACCCUAGAGACUGCUAGGCGCUACUAGCAUUUUUGUCCAAGAUGAAAGUAUAGCAACUUUCGGCGACGAUCAUAUUUGUGCUUGUCCUCCUUAUUUGUCACGGUGAGCUCCGUCCCCACAAUCAGAUUGUUCCAGAUAGUUGCCGGGUCUCAAAAUAAUAAAAUGUAGAACCAUGAUGCUUCCUACAGCCCCUGUUGAAGGGAAACGAGGGUGGGGUUGGGCCCCAUAAAGAUAGGCAAUAACGUUGCGGACCAAGUUUUCGUCCAUAUUAUUUAAAGUCUUUUUCAGAGGUCCUUUUCUAGCAUUGAUUUUCAGUAUUGGUGUUGGGGUGACCAAAACACCUUCAAGUAGUUCAUACAUGGUCUGGUAUGACUAUUAGUUUUUUUGGGCGAAUUGCUCGGUGAUGAUGAAGAUUAGUGGAGGCCAACGUUUAUGAAAGGGCUCACUCAUACAAAAGAGAGAUGGUUUCAGAAUGCUUUUGGUUGGUUGUUCAACCACACACGAGGCGGCGAACUUGGCUGCUACGUCUCAUGAUUUCACACCCUUGCCUAGCUUGCUUGGGAGUGAAUAGUCAAGUGUUGACUGGGUUCUUUGUGGCGUACGGCGCGUGAGCGGUGUUUCGGUUUGCCUAUGUCGGUAGGGUGGCUGCUUGAGCAUCAAACUAUAAAUUUGUUGUCUUGAUAUGUCGACUCUCUUUAAGUUUUGGUUGCCUCGAAUUAUAGACUAAUGGUUACCUAGGUAUGUUGCUUGUCCCUCUAAAUAUAGGACCGUUGGUUGCCUAGGUAUGUUGGUCGGUAUGUAGGUGACCUUAAAUAGUGGUUGCCUUGAAAUAAAGGACCAAUGAUUGCCUUGAUAUGUUGGUUGUUCCUAAGUAUUUGUUGCGAGUAAGUACCCUUUUCUAUAUAACCACUCAUCAAAGAAGCAUGGAGAAAGGAGUAAAGGUUGUAUCUUGAUAGCCAACUUCUCCAUUCUCCACAAUGGUAGGCCGAGGGGUAAGAUUUUAGCGAAGUGAGGGGCUUAUACAAGGUGAACCUCUCUCACCCUUUCUUUUUACUCUAAUAUGAUAUUCCUUUAGUCGCUCCAUUUAUUAUUACUGUGAAAAAAGAUUCUUAGGAAGUCCCUGGAUAGGCACUCAUAAGUUAGAGCUUACUCACUUACUGUCGGGUGAUUAUAUCUUGAUUUCUAUAGUUUUGAUGAUUCCAACUUGCGGAGAUGGUGGUCCUUUAUGUCCUUGUUCUUACUUGGGUUUGGUUCGUCACAACUGUGAGAAAACUACUUUGCUGGGGAUUUUUUUUUAUAAGAAACGUUAUAUAUAGACAAAAAGCAUAGAUCCUUCUAUCCCCAUUGACUUUACUAUUAGAGAUAAUAUCCCAGAUAAUAUCUUGGGAGGGUUAUUUUAAAAUCUUAAUUACAGGAAUGUCUUUAGGUUUCAAAAUUU
Molecule: non-coding RNA, 3783 nt
Organism: Momordica charantia (bitter melon)
Lineage: Eukaryota; Viridiplantae; Streptophyta; Magnoliopsida; Cucurbitales; Cucurbitaceae
Source: RefSeq, a predicted model, not a curated record